This 206-nucleotide long non-coding RNA is filed under the name Mytilus galloprovincialis (Mediterranean mussel). The record is from RNAcentral. Lineage: Eukaryota; Metazoa; Mollusca; Bivalvia; Mytilida; Mytilidae.
AACACAGUUGACAAAGAAACACACGAAUAAUAGCUAACAAAAGGCAACAAGUUUAAAAUUUUAAUACGCCAGAAGUGCAUUUUGUCCACACAAGACUUACUAGCUAGUGACGCCCAGAUACAAAAGUUUGAAAGCCGAAACAAAUACAAAGUUGAACAGCAUCAGGGACUAAAAGUUCAAAAACAGUUGUGCCAAAAACAGCCAGG